This is an unclassified non-coding RNA of Colobus angolensis palliatus, 286 nucleotides long. It matches the Rfam family "Metazoan signal recognition particle RNA". Rfam says of the family: The signal recognition particle (SRP) is a universally conserved ribonucleoprotein. It is involved in the co-translational targeting of proteins to membranes. Lineage: Eukaryota; Metazoa; Chordata; Mammalia; Primates; Cercopithecidae. The record is from Ensembl.
GCCAGGUGUGGUGGCAUGCACCUCUAGUCUCAGCUACUUGGGAAGCUGAGGUGGGAGGAUGGCUUGAGCCCAGGAGUUCUGUGCUACACCAAUCGCAUGUUUGCACUAAGUUCAGCAUCAAUAUGGUGACCUCUUGGGAGCAAAAGACCAACAGGUUGCCCAAGGAGGGGUGAACCGGCUCAGGGCAGAAAUGAAGCAAGCCAAAACUCCAGGGCUGAUCAGUAGUGGGAUCACAUCUGUGAAUAGCCACUGCAUUCCAACCUGGACAACAUGGUAUCUUAUUUAA